AUUGUUCUUUUCACUGUUAGUGAGGAGCGGUCAAGGAUGCGUAUUAAGAAAAUAACUAGAAGUGGCCGCAUGAUGUACCUCUCACCAAUGAGAUGCCUGUCAAGGGUAUACGUGGGUCUUUUGAAUCUACUGGUAAUUGCUUUAUGAAUCUGGGAGCUCCAGACCUAGGAUCUUAUUCACUGAUUUGAAGAGUUCAUGCAUCGAGCCAGUAGGCUGUGCACAUGGGUAAAAACUGGCUGCGGCUAAACAGGUAUUGUAAAUGAAGUGGACUUCGUGGUUUCUUUAUCCACCAAUAAAUUAAAAGAAAACUUACAGGAAAUGGACACAGCCCUGGAUAAAUGCAACUACUAAGAUUCAACCAAGAAGUAAAAAUCCUGAACACACCAAUACAACUAAUGGAUUUAAUCAGUAAUAAAAAGUCUCUCACCAAGAAACAGCCCAGGACUAAAUAGUUUCACUGCUGAAUUCUACUUAACUCUUAAAGAAGAAUUAAUAUUACCUCUUCUAAAACUAUUCCAAAACACUGAAGCAGAGAGAAUUCUUUCUAACUCAUUCUGUGAGGUCAACAUAACCAUGAUUCCAAAACUAGAUAAAAACACCACCAAAAAAGGAAAACUACAGGCCAACAUCCCUAAUAAACAUACAGGCAAAAAUUCUCAACAAAAUAUUACCAAACUGAAUCCAACAGCAUAUCAAAAAGAUAAUACAUCAUGAUUAAGUGGGAUUUAUCCCAGGGUUGUAAGGAUGUUUCAACAUAUGCAAAUAAGUAAAUGUGAUACAUCACAUCAACCAGAUGAAGGACAAAAAGUAUAUGAUCAUUUCAACAGGUGUGGAAAAACAAUUGAUACAAUUUAACAAUGAUAUAUGAUAAAAGCUCUAAAUAAAUUGGGUUUAGAAGGAAAGUAGCUCAGGGCUAUGAAUGUCACAUAUGACAAACCCACAGCUAACCUAGCAAACGGGGGAAAGCUGAAAGCUUUUCCUAUGAGAACUGGAAGAAGAUAAGAAUCCCCACUGUCACCACUUCUAUUCAACAUAGUACUGGCAGUCCUACCCAGAGAAAGAAAUAAAGGGAAUCCGUGCUAGAAAGAAAGAAGUCAAUUUAUCUCUGUUUGCAGAUGAUAUAAACUUGUGUAUACAAAAACCUAAAGACUCUAUCAAAAACUCUUAGACCUGACAAGAAAUUCAGCAAAGUUUAAGGAUACAAAAUCAACAUAUGAUAAUUGGUACUAUUUCUAUACAUGAACAACAAGCUAGCUGAAAAAGAAUUAUUUUUUCUGAAUCUGGUUCCUGCUGUUGCAUUUCUUGUUAAAGUAUUAUUCAUGCUCUCUUAUUCUACUUAGAUGAUCAUUGUUUACAUUUAUUCAAUUUAUCAUUUCCUUUCUGUUAUUUAGCACUGCUUAUUUAAAAUUAUAAAUUUGAGUCAACUAUUUCACAAGAUAAUAUUCAACUAUAUUUAUUACAGUGCAGAACAUGGAAAGGUUCAGAAUUUUAAAAGGCAUAUGUCUUAAAGGAGCAAAAUUUAAUUAUACUCUGAAUAUUAAGUACAUUUGAGAGAUGUAUCUUCAAGUUUAAAGUUCUUUUUCUGGAUUCUACA
This 1594-nucleotide long non-coding RNA is filed under the name Homo sapiens (human). RNAcentral's name for it is "non-protein coding lnc-ST8SIA4-3:10". Lineage: Eukaryota; Metazoa; Chordata; Mammalia; Primates; Hominidae. The record is from RNAcentral.